CCCUUAGAUGUUCUGGGCCGUACGCGCGCUACACUGAUGAAUUCAACGAGCACUAACCUGUGCAGAAAUGUUCGGGUAAUCUUGUGAAAUUUCAUCGUGAUGGGGAUUGAUUAUUGCAAUUAUUAAUCAUAAACGAGGAAUGCCUAGUAAGCGUGAGUCAUCAGCUCACGUUGAUUACGUCCCUGCCCUUUGUACACACCGCCCGUCGCUCCUACCGAUUGAAUGUGCUGGUGAAAAGUUCGGAUUGGGAAUAGGAGACGGCAACGUAUCCUGUUUCUGAGAAAAUCUUUAAACCCUCCCAUUUAGAGGAAGGAGAAGUCGUAACA
Molecule: ribosomal RNA, 326 nt
Filed under: uncultured eukaryote
Lineage: Eukaryota
Description: partial 18S ribosomal RNA
Rfam family: Eukaryotic small subunit ribosomal RNA
Source: RNAcentral